RNAcentral lists this ribosomal RNA (253 nucleotides) under uncultured bacterium. RNAcentral describes it as "partial 16S ribosomal RNA". It matches the Rfam family "Bacterial small subunit ribosomal RNA", at positions 524 to 776 of the family's 1533-position model. The record is from RNAcentral.
GACGAACCGUGCGAACGUUGUUCGGAAUCACUGGGCUUAAAGGGCGCGUAGGCGGUCCAUCAAGUCGGGGGUGAAAUCUUUCGGCUCAACCGGAAAACUGCCUUCGAUACUGAUGGGCUAGAGGGAGGUAGGGGUUGCGGGAACUACCAGUGGAGCGGUGAAAUGCGUUGAUAUUGGUAGGAACGCCGGUGGCGAAAGCGCGCAACUGGACCUCUUCUGACGCUGAGGCGCGAAAGCUAGGGUAGCGAACGGG